GUGACAAUCUAAUAUCCUCAGACUCGCAGCAGACAGCAGGGAAAGCUUCAAAUGAAAAACCCUCCUGAUAAUAAAUGUGUCAUCAGGCAGGUCUUUGGGCAGGUAGGCUUCAUGGCUGACUCUAUCAUUGCUCUUUGAGUGGGCUCUACAGAACAAUGUGGAUGGGUUUGCCUUCCUCCGAAAGAUCAGUUACUGGCCACAGGAGCAGGAAGGAUGCCAGACUGGAUGGAUGAAUUGUUCUGUGUUCCUGUGGCUGAAAAAGAAUAAAUGGGCCAAGGGAAGCCGUGGAAGAAAUCAGCUUUCUGAAUGCAGAGAAACAGAGCAAUUAGAACCUGUUCCCCAAAACUUAGCCUAAUAUAAAGAGAAAGCAUUGUGAAGGGGUUGUAAAAAUCUUUGCUCUCCUAACAUUUGGGGUGGGGUUUUCCAAGGGGUUUAGGAGCAGAAGGCCCCGUGACUUUGAAUGGGACCUGUGCUCCUAAGUCAGUUAGGCUCUUUUGAAAAUCCCAGCUGGCUUUGUGUCUUUGUCCCUCAGUCUCCACAUCCGGGAGUGUGAUGCCCCUGCACUAGAGCUAUAACAGCAGCUAUGAGGGUGACUGUCAUAGUGUGACACUGUCUUCCUCCCAACCAGCUUGCCUCAGCCUCAGACUAGUGCAAGGUCCCUGGGAGUUUCUUCUGCCCCUGGAAAAAAGUGAUGUGAGGAGCAAGGCAGGUCUUAAAACCCCAUCUCAACACAACCUUGCCUGUCAAUCUUUUGGCAACUUCACCAGGAACUUAUUUUGGUGGGGCCAAUUCUGAUACCCUUCUUCAUACUGCAUGGCCCCCGAGUCCCUGCUGUUUCCAGUAGGACUAAAUUACGCCUCUACAUGAGCAAAGAUGGCAGAAUCUGACCCUUAAUGUGCAUAUAAUUUAUCUCUUGCAUGCCUGCCUUCUUCUGUAGUCCCCUCUCCCUCCCCACCAACCCACAGUACCUAUUGAUUUUCCUGAUUUGCUUGCCUGUGAUUACAUUAUACUCUUUUUUUCUUC
Molecule: non-coding RNA, 1023 nt
Organism: Caretta caretta (loggerhead turtle)
Lineage: Eukaryota; Metazoa; Chordata; Testudines; Cheloniidae
Source: RefSeq, a predicted model, not a curated record